GUGUCAGCCGCCGCGGUAAUACGGGGGGGGCGAGCGUUGUUCGGAAUUAUUGGGCGUAAAGGGCGCGUAGGCGGUGUGGUAAGUCUGAUGUGAAACCUCCAGGCUCAACCUGGAGCUGGCAUCAGAAACUGCCGUGCUAGAGUGCGGGAGAGGAGAGUGGAAUUCCUGGUGUAGCGGUGAAAUGCGUAGAUAUCAGGAGGAACACCGGUGGCGAAAGCGGCUCUCUAGACCGCAACUGACGCUGAGGCGCGAAAGCUAGGGGAGCAAACAGGAUUAGAAACCCGGGUAGUCC
Molecule: ribosomal RNA, 292 nt
Filed under: uncultured bacterium
Lineage: Bacteria
Description: partial 16S ribosomal RNA
Rfam family: Bacterial small subunit ribosomal RNA
Source: RNAcentral